GGUUACAGAUGACCUUUUUAUUUACCUUUUGACAUAUGAUACAUCCUCUGCAUAUUUGCUUCACUAAAGUGUAUAUUCCUACACAGACUUUCUUAGCACAACAUCACACAUUGCUUGCACCUCCCAAUGACUCUCCUGAUGUAAAACAGUUAAUAUUUGCCUCAUUGGUGCUUUAUUCAGCAUUUCUCUCCCAUCAGGGAGUAUCUAUUUUCCUUCAGAUUUCGUGGCUCCUGAUUCCUUAA
Molecule: long non-coding RNA, 242 nt
Organism: Oxyura jamaicensis (ruddy duck)
Lineage: Eukaryota; Metazoa; Chordata; Aves; Anseriformes; Anatidae
Exons: 2
Source: RefSeq, a predicted model, not a curated record